AAAAUAAUUUAAGCGCCUGAGCCCAAGUGGCUGACGAGGGGUAGAGUUAUCGAAUAUCGGCGGAUGCUCUAAAGGUUUCACAGCCUAAACAUUUUACAAAAAAUAAAAGCAAUUUUAUAACAAAAUAGAUGUAGUGAGUCUCU
Molecule: non-coding RNA, 143 nt
Organism: Peptoniphilus grossensis
Lineage: Bacteria; Bacillati; Bacillota; Tissierellia; Tissierellales; Peptoniphilaceae
Source: Rfam